Molecule: ribosomal RNA, 253 nt
Filed under: uncultured bacterium
Lineage: Bacteria
Description: partial 16S ribosomal RNA
Rfam family: Bacterial small subunit ribosomal RNA
Source: RNAcentral
UACGGAGGGGGCUAGCGUUGUUCGGAAUUACUGGGCGUAAAGCGCGCGUAGGCGGAUCUGCAAGUCGGGGGUGAAAUCCCGAGGUUCAACCUCGGAACUGCCUUCGAUACUGCGGGUCUCGAGUCCGGGAGAGGUGAGUGGAAUUCCGAGUGUAGAGGUGAAAUUCGUAGAUAUUCGGAAGAACACCAGUGGCGAAGGCGGCUCACUGGCCCAUAACUGACGCUGAGGCACGAAAGCGUGGGGAGCAAACAGG